GCGCCAUUGUUUUUGUACUGGAUUGGAAUGUCUGGCUACGAACCAGAAGGUCGGGAGUUCGAGUCUCUCAGGGCGUA
This 77-nucleotide transfer RNA is filed under the name Anaerolineae bacterium. RNAcentral's name for it is "tRNA-Arg". It matches the Rfam family "tRNA". Rfam says of the family: Transfer RNA (tRNA) molecules are approximately 80 nucleotides in length. Lineage: Bacteria; Bacillati; Chloroflexota; Anaerolineae. The record is from RNAcentral.